Molecule: ribosomal RNA, 593 nt
Filed under: Leptodontidium trabinellum
Lineage: Eukaryota; Fungi; Ascomycota; Leotiomycetes; Helotiales; Leptodontidiaceae
Description: eukaryotic LSU rRNA
Rfam family: 5.8S ribosomal RNA (bases 240-393)
Source: RNAcentral
CUUACUGGAAAGGUAAAAAAGUUCGUAACAAGGGUUUCCGUAAGGUGAACCCUGCGGAGGAUCAAUAAUGGUUAACCGCCCUUCCGGGCACAAUCCCCACCCUUGGUAAACUGCGGGCCCGGGAUUCGCCGCCUGGCGGGGAGCCCCCCUCCUGUUCGCCGGAGGGCCCCCGCCUGCCGGGAAUUAGCCAACCCUGCCUAGAAAAAUUGAAGUCUGAGAACAAAGUUUAAAUUAAACAAAACUUUCAACAACGGAUCUCUUGGUUCUGGCAACGAUGAAGAACGCAGCGAAAUGCGAUAAGUAAUGUGAAUUGCAGAAUUCAGUGAAUCAUCGAAUCUUUGAACGCACAUUGCGCCCCCUGGUAUUCCGGGGGGCACACCUGUUCGAGCGCCAUUUCUACCCUAGAGCCCUGCUCUGUGAUGGGCCUCGUCCUCGCGGACGGGCCCGAAACCCGUGGGCGCCGUCGUCCGGCCCUGAGCGUAGCAAGAGAAAUCCCUCGCUCGGAGUGUCUGAUGGUGGCCGCCCCGACCUAUUUUUACAAGGUUGGCCUCGGAUCAGGUGGGGAUACCCGCUGAACUUAAGCAUAUCAAUAA